Molecule: ribosomal RNA, 497 nt
Filed under: uncultured bacterium
Lineage: Bacteria
Description: partial 16S ribosomal RNA
Rfam family: Bacterial small subunit ribosomal RNA
Source: RNAcentral
GAUGAACGCUGGCGGCGUGCCUAAUACAUGCAAGUAGAGCGCUGAAGGUUGGUACUUCUACUGUCUGUGUGUGGCGCGCGCGUGUGUGUCACGUGUGGGACCUGCGUCGUAGCGCGGGGGAACUCUUUGGAACGCGAAUGCUUAUCCCGCAUCAACACUUUAAACAUAAUUUUUAAUUUAAAAAGGCACCAGCUCCACUAUCAAAUAUAAUUCCGCGUUGUAUUCGCUAGUUGGUGAGGUAAGGGCUCACCAAGGCGAUGAUACAUAGCCGACCUGAGAGGGUGAUCGGCCACAUUGGGACUGAGACACGGCCCAGACUCCUACGGGAGGCAGCAGUAGGGAAUCUUCGGCAAUAGACGAAAGUCUGACCGAGCAACGCCGCGUGAGUGAAGAAGGUUUUCGGAUCGUAAAGCUCUGUUGUUAGAGAAGAACGUGGGUGAGAGUGGAAAGCUCACCAAGUGACGGUAACUAACCAGAAAGGGACGGCUAACUACGUG